CGCCCAUCAGUAGCCGGGUUAGGCAUCGGCACCCCAACGACCACGAAAGGGAAGAAGCGGUCAAGAAGAUGGAUGGAUGUAGCAGGACGAAAUGAGCUGCACCUGCUACACAGGUGUUGGCAAUCCAGGGGAUUGCCAAAGGGGUGUGGUGGAGCCAAUAAAAGGGCAGAGUUGCUUUGUGCUUGCACACUGCACUCUGACGAGGGGACGCCGCAAUGUGCUACAGGUUCCAGGCCCAGUCAGUGGGGCACCUGAAACAUGGUGAUGGACCUGUAGCACCAGGGUCCCCUCUCCACCGCACCCGCAGAGCAUGUGAUUUGGCAGGAUAGACGGGUCAGACGUGAGCCCCUGCUGCUUUGCCUGGUUUGCCUGCUUUGCCUGUUUUUAUCUUUUUGUUGGUUUCUGCUCCUGUGCUGUGCGGCCAAACUGAAG
Molecule: long non-coding RNA, 432 nt
Organism: Oryzias melastigma (Indian medaka)
Lineage: Eukaryota; Metazoa; Chordata; Actinopteri; Beloniformes; Adrianichthyidae
Exons: 2
Source: RefSeq, a predicted model, not a curated record